Harmonia axyridis is the source of this 957-nucleotide long non-coding RNA. RefSeq lists it as uncharacterized. The transcript has 2 exons. The record is from RefSeq and is a predicted model, not a curated record. NCBI's taxonomy places the organism in Eukaryota, Metazoa, Arthropoda, Insecta, Coleoptera, Coccinellidae.
ACAACAAAAUUUACAUUUUCUGUUGUUUCCCAUUUUAAUUGCGGAGUGGAAUGAAACAGUUUAUAUGUAGAAUUUUCCAAAAUUCGUCUUUAAUUGAGCUUUCUUUGUAGAUGAAAUUUGGUAUUAUUAUAUCAACAGCUACAAAAAUAUACAAAAUCUUCUGCAGACCAAUUUUUGAAUAUAAACACACUAUAUAGAACUGAACUAGUGCCAAUAAGGGAAAGACUGCAAAAAUUUCCAAGGAAACUUUUCUAAAGGCUACACAACAUAGAACUAAAGUGACCAUUGAUGCGAAUAUGAUAGAAGUUGUUUAUUAUUAUUAUAUUUAUUUGUAGGUUGAUCAAUUAAUGUGAUUUGAUAAUAUGAAAGAGAAGUUUGUAUGAUGAGAUUGAAUUGAAAGUGCCCUUUUGUUACUAUGAAUAAGUAUUCAAAUUAAAGCUUCUUAUAAUUAUUUUAUGUGAAUUGAGAAAUUUAUUGUUUGUAAUAAUGGAUUGAACUUUAAGAAAUUACAUUAAAAUAUCUAGAAAUGGAUUUUUAAAAGUACUACUAGCUUGUUUCAUAUCAAGAUUAGUUUGACAUUUCACCUUGAUAAUAAUUUCAAACUUUAAAUCAAUGUGUUAUGUGAAGGAUCAGGGCAAGAAAAAGAUUAUUUCAGAUUGUAGCAUCCCUUAUACUAUUAUAUAUAGAUCAUUCAGAAACCACUCAUGAAUCUCAAAAAAGAUUUCUCUUGGGGUUUCAAUACAGAAGGAUUAGGAUAUAAUGCAUAUAAUGGAAAUAUAAUAAAAUCUGUAUCAAAUUCUUUACAGCAUAGAGAAUUUUGGCUGUUCAAUACAGUUGAGAAUACACUUUCAUUGAGUUAUGGGAAAUGAAAUCGUAUAAUCAAUACAGGAAGUAGUUUAUUGUAAGAAAACUUACAGUUGUUCAAAAUUAUAUAUAAUUAUAUUAUAUUAAUUAUAA